UACAGAGGGUGCGAGCGUUAAUCGGAUUUACUGGGCGUAAAGCGUGAGUAGGUGGCUCGCUAAGCCGAUUGUGAAAGCCCUGGGCUCAACCUGGGAAUUGCAGUCGAUACUGGUGAGCUAGAGUUCGGUAGAGGGUGACGGAAUUCCCGGUGUAGCGGUGAAAUGCGUAGAUAUCGGGAGGAACAUCGAUGGCGAAGGCAAUCACCUGGGCCUGAACUGACACUGAGACACGAAAGCGUGGGUAGCAAACAGG
This 253-nucleotide ribosomal RNA is filed under the name uncultured bacterium. RNAcentral describes it as "partial 16S ribosomal RNA". It matches the Rfam family "Bacterial small subunit ribosomal RNA", at positions 524 to 776 of the family's 1533-position model. The record is from RNAcentral.